GCCAUAAUGUUUACCUUUCACAAGUAGGGGUGAUUUUAUAGCCAGCUGUGUGGUUUACUGGUGUGAUGUAUAGUAAUAGUACAACAUACGUAUCUUUAUUUGAUAUUGUCAGAAUUGUCAGUUAUUUCCUAGCCUGAGUGUGGCAGCAAUUUUACAUUUCCUCGUUGUUUUUAUUUAAUAGUAACUUUUGAAAAGAUUUCAACACCUAUAGUAAAUGACGAGAGAACAAAGAACUCUAGAAAGAGGGAGAGAGAAGAGAAAGUAGGCAAAUGAAUAAGAGAAGAAAACAGUCGAGUUAAGGGCCAAUAAGCGUAAAGAUUAAGUGAAAAAUCUUGCAUCUGUCUCUAAUGUGACUUUUAGGUAGAAUCUUUCCUUAUUAAAAAUUUGCCAAGAAGGUAUCAGGAUCACCUCUGGCCAGAGACUAAAUCAUCUUUGAUUGACAUCAACAUGACGUACCUGUGCAGGCCCGUGGGUAACAGAGCGGACCCUUCAUUCCAGACCAAGAGGACUGGCCCGGGAGCCUUUGCAUCAUGUGCAUAAGGAUCUGGACAUGGAAAGAGAAGAUAUAGCCUUCCUUCCUCCCUACAAAGUACUUCCUGCUCACUCAUCAUCCUACAAUUGGGAGUUCAUCAUCUUUUUAAAUAAUUCCUUUCUAAUUGCUGUUUAUAGACAUACUAGAGGCCCGAUGCAUGAAAUUCGUGCAAGAGUAGGCCUUCCUUCCCCCAGCUGCUGGCACCAGCUUCCCCUGGCACCCAGGACCCGGCUUCCCUCUGGCUGCUGGCAGACACCCAGGACCCAGGCUUCCCUUGCAGCCCUGGCUUCAUCCUGAAGGUCGUCUGGAAGGUCUUCAGGUCUAAUUAGCAUAUUACACUUUUAUUAUUAUAGAUUUUAUUAUAUAGGAUGCCUUUUGUCACCAUUGAGCUACCACUUACUGAGAGCUUAUUAUGUGCCCGAUCUUUUGCAGAUACCAUUCUGUAAGGCCUCUCUACUCUAUCCACUAGGCAAAUAUCAGUGGACUCUACCUAUUUCUUGUACCUCCCCUUAGUAAUACUUGAAGGACAUGUGUACUUGAGGUCAUUAUAAGCUUAACAAAAGGAUUUGCUGAAAAUAACUGAACUUGCAUUUUAGAAUUAAUAUAUGCAGCAUAAUCGUCUUGAUACGCCAAAGUUGUGGGUUCGAUCCCUGGUCAGAGCACAUAAAAGAAGCAACUAGUGAAUGCAUGAACGGAUGGAGCAAGAGGCUGAUGUUUCUCUUUCACGCUCCCUCUCUAAAAUCAAUAAAUAAAAAUGUAAAAAAUAUAUAUGCAGCAUAAUAGCAUACUUAUUUACAAAUAGUACAUAUUGUGAUUCUAACAGUAACAUCUACUCAUUUCACGGCGGAAUGUAAGGGAAACCCAUAUUCCAGUAUCACUGGAACCAUUUGCCAUAAUAUUUGAAUUCAGAUCAUCUUUUUUUUUUUUUUUUUUUUGUCUUAGUCUACCUCUGGUCCUAUUUCCCUGAUCCAUGCUGCUCCAUUAGAUCUAUUUCAGGAUGAUAAUUUUAACAUCAGAAUGUAUGUGAUUUGCAGAAGGCAUUUCAUUUUUUUCAUUGCAAUUGCUCAAAAUUUAGGUACUAGAGUAUGUUAAAUGACAUGUCAAUUUUCACACAUAAGAUUCCCUCUCCGUGAUCCUUGCCUUUGUAUGUGGAACUCCUCUGUCUGAAAUCCCACCUUAACUUUGCUGUUCGACACACUCCUGUAUGCCUUUCCAGACCCCCUUCAAAUGCGAUGCCCACCCUUCGCUUCCCAGCUAAUCCACGCUUCCCUGAGUUCCCAAUGUCCCUUCUGCAUAGUAGUGACUGGAUCGCAAUGAUUUGCACGUGUUUAUUUCUCACAUGAAGUGUGAGCCUUCUUGAAGAAGGGAGUGUGUUUAUCAUUUCUAUACCGUUAGCCAGCGAGAGUUUCUGGCAUAUAACAGGUGAUCGAGAAAUGACUGGGGAGUUCCUGGGGCAGCUUUUUACCUAAUCACCUGCAUUUCUGUUCUCUAGUUACUUCCACCCUCUUUGCUGUUAACCACGCAUGUGUAAUACAGGAAAUGCUAAGGGUGUGUUUAUGGAACCAUGUCAAUGCUGACGACUUUUACCACAUGUCCCCGAAUGCCUUCUACAAAGAUAUCUUCUGAAAUUAUAGUGGAGAGCUUUUUACAGGGUUUAUCAAUCUGGAUGAAAAGCCCAAUUUGGCUGCUUAAGAGUCGCAUGUUCAUGACUCACGGGAAGGCUCAUAAAAACCCAUGUGAUCCCAGCCAAAGGCAGGAGCAGCAGAAUCCACAACACGCCUUAUUCAGAGCCUCAGGGCUAUUCCUGGAAGCAUGCACAGUCGGCUGGUCAAUACCUCAUCACUUUGAAAAUGUUUACGGCUCUAUGACCAACUGUCAAAAUAGCAGAAUGAGGGCCUGGAACUCUGCCACCCAGAGGUCUGGGUCAUGCAGACAGACUCACAGAAGUAGAAGCGUGGAAGAAAGGCUUGCUUUUGACUUUUGCUUUAUAAGCUCAGGAAAUGGGGCAAAGCCGCCGAAGUCAGGUUCUCUCUGGUUCACUCUCGGCACACCGGGGUUUUGUAGUUCUGCGCGGCCUCACAUGGUUCCAUUGCUUUUCCAAGCUGAUGUCAUCCUGGAGACGGCUCUCACCCUGACUUGGCAGCACACUUCUUGCCUAAUCCCAAGGUCAACAGGAAAAACCCUUUGGUAGCCAGCUUGCUAUUUUGAUUCUUAACUAUCCUCUUCAUCAACCUGACAAAGUGUUUUAACUGGUGAUGAUUUUCAUAAGAAAGCUGAAUUCGCACCUGGGGAUUUCAUGCAGAUUUUAGUAAAAAAGCACAUUCUGACCUGGCUGGGAGGUGUACACCCCGAGACCUGGGAGUUAAGGUCGAAAUGCCGUCCAUUCUCCUUAUCUGAAAACGGCCUCUCAUUGUGGAAAGAUUAACAACCUUGUUGCGGAAACAAUGGAGUCCCAGGUUGCCACCACCUAGAGGCACUGCCCUUUGCAACCCCCCAGCCCGCAUUGCCUGUAACCUGUAACCACUAUACCCAUUCCUGUCAUACUUCCCCAUGCAAUCCUUGUCCUUCUGCCCAAUAUAAGAAGUUUAUGGGGGAGUGGGGAAGAGCAGAUUUUUGUGUGGAUGACCUGUGGCUCUCCCAUGUUGCUGGCAAUAUUGGAAAAUAAAGCACUCAUAUACGAUUCAACCCUGUCUCUGCUUAAUUGACUCAAGUAGUGGCACGUAGCCUGGACCCAUUCGUUGUCCGGUUUCACCUUUAAUCAAUAUACUAUUUACUGACUAUUAUUAUUUUUACUAUCACUUAACCUUUAAAAUCUAUACUAAUUUCCUUGCCAUUCUACAUUUCUCAAGGAAGGGAAAAAACAAUCUGUCCUUACUUUGCAUA
Molecule: long non-coding RNA, 3415 nt
Organism: Myotis daubentonii (Daubenton's bat)
Lineage: Eukaryota; Metazoa; Chordata; Mammalia; Chiroptera; Vespertilionidae
Source: RefSeq, a predicted model, not a curated record